RNAcentral lists this ribosomal RNA (406 nucleotides) under uncultured bacterium. RNAcentral describes it as "partial 16S ribosomal RNA". It matches the Rfam family "Bacterial small subunit ribosomal RNA", at positions 30 to 526 of the family's 1533-position model. The record is from RNAcentral.
AUUGAACGCUGGCGGCAGGCCUAACACAUGCAAGUCGAACGAGUGGCGGACGGGUGAGUCAUGUCUGGGAAACUGCCCGAUGGAGGGGGAUAACUACUGGAAACGGUAACACAUACCGCAUACCAUCGGGUGUGCCCAGAUGGGAGUAGCGAGUAGGUGGGGUAACGGCUCACCUAGGCGACGAUCCCUAGCGGGUCUGAGAGGAUGACCAGUCACACUGGAACUGAGACACGGUCCAGACUCCUACGGGAGGCAGCAGUGGGGAAUAUUGCACAAUGGGCGCAAGCCUGAUGCAGCCAUGCCGCGUGUAUGAAGAAGGCCUUCGGGUUGUAAAGUACUUUCAGCGAGGAGGCGUUACUCGCAGAAGAAGCACCGGCUAACUCCGUGCCAGCAGUCGCGGUAAUAC